AUCUGUGGGGAAUUCUAGACGGUCACAGAGAUCAGCAGUGAAGCAUGUUGUUUAAUUCGAUAAUCCACGACAAACCUUACCACUUCUUGCAUAUUAUUAAAAAAGGAAUUCCUUUUUUAAUAAAUACAGGUGUUGCAUGGCUGUCUUUAGUUCGUGUUGUGAAAUGUGUGGUUUAUUCCGUCAACGAACGAAACCCUUAUCUUUAAUUUAACGUACUUAAAGAAAUAUCUUUCGAUAUGAAAGAGUAAUUAGGAUUAAGACAAGUCCUCAUGACCCUUAUGGAGUGGGCUACAGACGUGCUAUAAAAAUUUCUACAAUAGGAUGCAAAGAUGAAAAUUUGAGCUAAUCCCUGAAAAGAAAUUUCAGUACAGAUAAGAGUCUGAAACUCGAUUCUUUGAAGA
Molecule: ribosomal RNA, 401 nt
Filed under: Pneumocystis sp.
Lineage: Eukaryota; Fungi; Ascomycota; Pneumocystomycetes; Pneumocystales; Pneumocystaceae
Description: SSU rRNA
Rfam family: Bacterial small subunit ribosomal RNA
Source: RNAcentral